This 484-nucleotide ribosomal RNA is filed under the name uncultured bacterium. Its description in RNAcentral is "partial 16S ribosomal RNA". It matches the Rfam family "Bacterial small subunit ribosomal RNA", at positions 30 to 507 of the family's 1533-position model. The record is from RNAcentral.
AUUGAACGCUGGCGGCAGGCCUAACACAUGCAAGUCGAGCGGAUGAAGGGAGCUUGCUCCUGGAUUCAGCGGCGGACGGGUGAGUAAUGCCUACGAAUCUGCCUGGUAGUGGGGGAUAACGUCCGGAAACGGGCGCUAAUACCGCAUACGUCCUGAGGGAGAAAGUGGGGGAUCUUCGGACCUCACGCUAUCAGAUGAGCCUAGGUCGGAUUAGCUAGUUGGUGGGGUAAAGGCCUACCAAGGCGACGAUCCGUAACUGGUCUGAGAGGAUGAUCAGUCACACUGGAACUGAGACACGGUCCAGACUCCUACGGGAGGCAGCAGUGGGGAAUAUUGGACAAUGGGCGAAAGCCUGAUCCAGCCAUGCCGCGUGUGUGAAGAAGGUCUUCGGAUUGUAAAGCACUUUAAGUUGGGAGGAAGGGCAGUAAGUUAAUACCUUGCUGUUUUGACGUUACCAACAGAAUAAGCACCGGCUAACUUCGUG